UACGAAGGGGGCUAGCGUUGCUCGGAAUUACUGGGCGUAAAGCGCACGUAGGCGGCUUUCUAAGUCGGGGGUGAAAUCCUGGAGCUCAACUCCAGAACUGCCUUCGAUACUGGAGAGCUUGAGUCCGGGAGAGGUGAGUGGAACUGCGAGUGUAGAGGUGAAAUGCGUAGAUAUCGGAAGGAACACCGGUGGCGAAAGCGGCGCGCUGGAUCCCUACUGACGCUGAGGCGCGAAAGCCAGGGGAGCAAACGGG
This 253-nucleotide ribosomal RNA is filed under the name uncultured bacterium. RNAcentral's name for it is "partial 16S ribosomal RNA". It matches the Rfam family "Bacterial small subunit ribosomal RNA", at positions 524 to 776 of the family's 1533-position model. The record is from RNAcentral.